UUGCGGUUAAAAAGCUCGUAGUUGGAUUUCUGUUGAAGACCGGCGGUCCACCUUUUGGGUGAGUAUCUGCUUGGGCUUCGGCAUCUUCUCGAAAAACGUUGCGGCGCUUGAUUGCGUGGUGCGGAGUUCGGGACUUUUACUUAGAGGAAAUUAGAGUGUUCACGGCAGGCAUACGCCUUGAAUAUAUUAGCAUGGAAUAAUAAUAUAGGAUCUUGGUUCUAUUUUGUUGGUUUCUAGAGCUAAGAUAAUGAUUAAUAGGGACAAUUGGGGGCAUUCGUAUUAUACCGUCAGAGGUGAAAUUCUUGGAUUGGUAUACGACGAACUACUGCGAAAGCAUUUGCCAAGGAUGUUUUCAUUGAUCAAGAACGAAAGUAAGGGGAUCGAAGAUGAUUAGAUACCGUCGUA
RNAcentral lists this ribosomal RNA (405 nucleotides) under uncultured marine eukaryote. RNAcentral's name for it is "SSU rRNA". It matches the Rfam family "Eukaryotic small subunit ribosomal RNA", at positions 613 to 1022 of the family's 1831-position model. The record is from RNAcentral.